Non-coding RNA from Ictidomys tridecemlineatus (thirteen-lined ground squirrel), 607 nucleotides. The record is from RefSeq and is a predicted model, not a curated record. Lineage: Eukaryota; Metazoa; Chordata; Mammalia; Rodentia; Sciuridae.
CUUUUAUCUCCACAGCAACUCUGCUUGCCAACUUUGAUGCCAGUGGCAUCAAAAAUUCCCUGAAAUGAUACAUAGCGAUACUAGCAUCAGUACCACCACUGAGCUGAAAGACUGUGUUGCAUAAGAACAGUACAUUCAUAGGAAAGAGACUCCUCUUCUGAUGGAUGAGAACAAGAAAGCUUGUAGCCCCUAGUUGCUGCUGGGUGUUAACUUGUCAUGUUGAAAGAGUAAGCACAGAUUGCAAAGUUCCCCAGAGGGAAAGGAAUGGGAGCAGGCACACUCAGCCUUCAGACUGUAAUUUCUAAAAGUGGCCACAGCAGUAAAUCUGGUCCCAUAUGAUCUUCCAGGACCUUGCUGCUUCACAUUAAGAGUCACCAUGUUGUGAGGAAGCUCAGGCUACAUGCAGAGGCUAGUAGGUGUUCUGGCCCACAGCCUCAGUUGAUCUCCCAGCCAUAACUAUAAUCAAUCAGAAGACAGACCAACUCCUGUUCCUGUGAGGGAUAAGUUGGCUUGGGCUAUACAUAAAUUCAGCUCAUCUCUACUUUCUGUUCCAUCACAACAAAUAAAGAGCAGUUGGGAGUGUGUUUUCCUGCUGCCAAGCUACAAA